Molecule: unclassified non-coding RNA, 1199 nt
Filed under: Hevea brasiliensis (rubber tree)
Lineage: Eukaryota; Viridiplantae; Streptophyta; Magnoliopsida; Malpighiales; Euphorbiaceae
Source: RNAcentral
GGUCUGAGAGGAGGUAAUGAUUGUAUUAAUUUGUUGAGUCUAGAACCAUUCAUCAAUUGAGAAUAUAUUUAUUUAAGUUAGGAGUAGCAGAAUCUAUUCUGUUAAGCAGUGCAAGAAGAUACUAGUUUUGAUGUUUAUUUGCAUGUAGCACCCCUAGGUUUAUGCUCCAAUUCUACUAGACAAUGUGACAUUUGCUACUUGUGUGCACCCUCCCACAUUUUAUAUCCCAUGUCUUUUCUUUAGUUACACAGCUGACAGUAGUCAUGUUGUGGCAACCAUUAGAGAAGUGCUUGCAUUGUGGGAUUCAUCUGGGAAGGAGGUGAUGAGCAGGUUGGCAUUAUGUAGAAUUACCUUAGUCUAUAGGUAGUGAUGCCAGAUAUUUUGUUGUUUUCUAUGGUUAGAUGUAAUAAUUGAGAUAUGAGUGGAUAUUUCAGUCAUUGUCAAUGGACUUCUGGUGAAUGAUAUUGUUCAUCUGUAAGAGAUUGAAUUUAUCUUGACCAAAGUAGUCAUUCUCCUUUUUGUAUGGACUUGUGAUGCCACCUCUGUGUCUGCUAUCUGGUUUGAUUAUGCUUGUCAUUUGGCUAUAUAGUCUGUCUUAAUAUUUUGAAGUAAGAAUUUCCUUCCCUUACAUAGCUUUUCAUUCCAUUCCAUUGUAUUAUCUCAGUCUUCAGUGAAUCAUCAACUAAAUGCAUGCAUAUGUGCCGGGGUGUGUUUGUAUACUUGGUAAAAUAAACCUAAAAUUAGACAUGGAAAGAACACAUGAUGAACUUUUCUAUGUAUUUUGAGGGAUGCAUGAAAUUACAUCAUGUAUUAGAAUAUAUAGAACCGUAAAGCUAUGUGUAUAACUUUGAUGCUCAACAACAUAUACAAUAUGUGUGCAUUGGUAAGUCCAUGAUCUGCUUAGUACUGCCAUAUACAUUUACCUAAAUAUAUUAUAAUGGAUAUUAUGUUUUAAUAACUUUUGUUUACUGUAUGAAGAGUGGGAUAAGUAUGAUAUGGAGCCAAGUUACUCUUCCAUGUAGCUCUUUACCUCAUAUGGUUGCAUUGAAUUAGUAAACUAAAAUAGAAGGCACGACAAGUGUAAAAUUUGCAUUAUGAGUUCUGAUUGUUUGCAACUAUUUUAAGUAACCCCAUCUUUCUUGCAUUCCUUAAUAAGCAUUUCUGUUAGUUAACCAAAGCCAACUUGAAGACUCACAUGC